UACAGAGGGUGCAAGCGUUAAUCGGAAUUACUGGGCGUAAAGCGUGCGUAGUCGGUUAUCUAAGUCGGGUGUGAAAUCCCCGGGCUCAACCUGGGAAUUGCAUUCGAUACUGGAUAGCUAGAGUUCGGCAGAGGGAAGCGGAAUUUCUGGUGUAGCGGUGAAAUGCGUAGAUAUCAGAAGGAACAUCAGUGGCGAAAGCGGCUUCCUGGACCAGAACUGACGAUCAGGCACGAAAGCGUGGGGAGCAAAAGGG
This 253-nucleotide ribosomal RNA is filed under the name uncultured bacterium. Its description in RNAcentral is "partial 16S ribosomal RNA". It matches the Rfam family "Bacterial small subunit ribosomal RNA", at positions 524 to 776 of the family's 1533-position model. The record is from RNAcentral.